Molecule: ribosomal RNA, 259 nt
Filed under: uncultured bacterium
Lineage: Bacteria
Description: partial 16S ribosomal RNA
Rfam family: Bacterial small subunit ribosomal RNA
Source: RNAcentral
CGGAGGGGCGUAGCGUUGUUCGGAAGUUACUGGGCGUAAAGCGCACGUAGGCGGACUGGAAGUCAGAGGUGAAAUCCCAGGGCUCAACCUUGGAACUGCCUUUGAAACUAUCAGUCUGGAGUUCGAGAGAGGUGAGUGGAAUUCCCGAGUGUAGAGGUGAAAUUCGUAGAUAUUCGGGAGGAACACCAGUUGGCGAAGGCGGCUCACUGGCUCGAUACUGACGCUGAGGUGCCGAAAGCGUGGGGGAGCGAACAGGAUU